CUUCGGAUUCUGUGUCUCCCUCUCUCUCUGCCCCUCCCCUGCUCAUGCUCUGUCUCUCUCUGUCUUUCAAUGAUAAACAAACGUUAACAAAAAUUAAAAAAAGAAAUAAGUUUGAUGAGGAAUUAAGGAAUGGGAAUUGAAGGAGACUGUCACGUUUGAAUUUUUUCGAUCAUAACAUAUCCGUGUAUGAUUUAUGUAUUUAGAUUUAAGAUUGAAGAAGAAAAAAUAAUGGGAGCAUUCUGAUUGCUUCAACUUGGGUCAUGUGACUAUUCCUUGGCCAUCAGUGACCAAGGGGCUCCCAGGGCUCUGACUGGCCGUGCCUGGGUUACACAUUCACCCCUAUGAACACUGGAACAAUACUCAUGAUCGGCAGUUCCUUCCAUAAUUACACGUUGUUGUGGGGAAGGAGCUGUUCCCUCAAGAAAGGGAGGUGCUGUUCUGGGCAGACAAAAUGAUACAUCUCUGUAGUGAAAAUAUUUGGGCCAGCAUCAUCUGUAUGGGUUUAUGUAUGUGUCGUCCAAGGCUGAAUGCUUUGUUCAAUAUGUUUUUAUUACAGUACAGGAUAAGGAUUUGUUUUGCUCACUGCUAUAUCCCCCAGAACCCGUGAAGGUUCAGGGUAUAUAGUAGUUGCUUGGCUUAGCAGAUAUUGGUUGAAUGGAGACACCACUAUUUUCAUCUAUGGUUAUUUUAAUAGUAAUCUACAAAUGGGCCUGCUGACAGAGGCAACUCUUCCCAGAUGCUCUCAGUAGGGGCAGUACAGAGAAAGGAAGAGGAAGUCGAAUCACCAGCUCAGGACUCCUCCCAAGGCCGGGGAGUCACCAGGACCCACACCUGGGACAGUUUGACAAUGACUUGGCCGAGGCAUGGGGUUGGGCAGGGGGAGUAUCUGCAGCCCAGUCUCUCACACUUCUCAUGACUAAGUGAUUCUUCCUUUCUGGCCUACUCACUUUGCAAAUGCUCCCUUAGCCCGUGUUAUAGACUCACCAGCUGUGGAAGAUGGAGCCACAGAGGAAGAGAAGGUGGCAAAAUGGGCCAGGUCACCUAGGGUGGGUGACCCUUGGAACACCAAAUCACAAGCACUCUUCCAGGUCAUAAAAAACGUGUGAAGGCAUUUUAAUUAAGGCCAGGAGAGACCAGCAUGGAAAUCCGUGUAUGUUUGCUGGCAAAGGAGGAGGUGUGAGUGGAGAGAGAGACUCAAAGAUGGUACAGGGUGACGGAGGUCAGCCAGGAGCCCAAGUGGGGCCAGGGCCAGGAGUGGGGGGUGGUGCUGGGGCAGUUAGGGCUGGAGAUGUUCUGGGUGGGGAGGCAAACUGCCCCUUGCUUUCACUCUCACUCCUGUACUAGCUCCAGUGACCCCCCAGAGACCAGGCAGCGAGUCCACAUUCUUCAGGUUCAGUGGAUUUUCUGGUUGGAGAAAUGUGAGAAUUUAAAUUGUGGGGCACCUGGGUGGCUCAGUCGGUUAAGUGUCCGACUUCAGCUCAGGUCAUGACUCACGGAUUGUGGGUUCGAGCCCCGCGUCGGGCUCUGUGCUGACAGCCUGGAGCCUGGAGCCCGCUUCAGAUUCUGUCUCCCUCUCUCUGUGCCCCUCUGCCACUCAUGCUGUCUUUCUCUCAAAAAUAAACAUUAAAAAAAUUUAAAAAGAAAAUUAAAUUGUUGCCACCAAACGAUCUAGUUGCUGAACCUUUGAACCUUGAGCUGAGUUUGGCCUGGCUGAGUCGUCCAUGAGAACCCAAGGGGAGCUAGAGGUGUGCGUGUCUGGUGGAGACUAGAAAUGCAAGCCGGACAGUUCAAAACCGGAACAGAUUCCGGGACACAUUUCAGACAUCUUUCCUUUACCCCCAGGGCCCUGUCCCCUCAUCAGCCCCGUAACCAUUGGCCACCUUGACUCCCACCGGCAAAUGCCUCCACCCUUUCCUAUGGUCAUUACCUACCAUUUAUAUUUAUUGAGUACCUACUGUGUGCCAGAUACUACAAGACACUGAUGUUACAAGACAUAUCCUUGUCCUUAAGAGACUUCCAUGUAACCAGCAGCUUGCUCAGGGGGCCCCAGAGAUCCCCAAAACUUUUGUCUGUGUGAUAGACCUUUCUGUGAACUGAUGACGGCUUUGCACACCUCCCCAGAAAAACACAACCUGCAUGGAAAUUUACAUACAGUUGAAGGUGGCACCAAUUUCCUGGAAGCCCGUUUAUGACCUAAGUGUCUGUGUUCCCCAAGUCACAAAUGUUUUAUCUAAUUUAACCCUCUCAUUCUGUAGAUCAGGAAACUCAGACCUGAGAGAGAGAAAUGACUUGUCCAGGGUCACACAGUGGGUUAGGGACUGAGUCAGGCCUUGACACCAGGACUACUGGCUCCACCAGGCUUCCUCUGCUUUCCCUGUUGGCUUGGAGAACCUGGCUGAAGAGGGGUCCUGGGCCAGUUCCCUUUUCAGCUGUCAAGUCUGGGGCUGACCAGCCUACAGGCCUCCUUCUCCACCACCCUACUGUCCCCUCAGGAAUGCAGGACCAGUGGUCAGGAGUUCCCUGAACAGUUGCUCUGGCCCUGGCCGCCCCACUGGUUCCCCCCAGACGUCAGGGGAAAUGUUCUGUAGAGAACAGGAUGUGUUUUCCUGCAAAAUCAUUUGUCUCACAAGAUGAUUUGCAUACUGGUAGGGACACAAAUGUCAUUCCCUGCCCAUUUCCUCCCUAGGGAGAAGUGUUCCCAUCACAGCUUUCCCCUCAAAGGACAGGCGGCUGUGUGGGCCCAGCCCCAGCCCCAAGGGACAACUUCCUGAUAGGAGGGAAUCAGAUAAUAGCGAGGACUCCCGGAAGUAAGGAGCCUCCCUUGUUGCCUUCUCACUUCCAGGGCUUGGCUAGACGGGGGCUCCAGGCUCCAGCUCUGAUAAAUGGCCUGCUCCUGUGAUCCCCAGGGCUCUGGGCAUCUACCUUUAUAACACAUUCUUGGAGGUAAAUUACUGGAAAUUCAGCUGCUAGAAGGGAGGCUUGAGGUGCUGUUAGGUGAAAAAUAAUAACAAAUACGUAGUGCUUAUUACAUGCCAGCAUUGCUCUGAGCAACUUACUGUAAAUUCAUGUAAUUCUCACAACAUAGUGAGCUCGGUUCUAUAAUUUUUUUCCAUUGUCCACGUGAGAGAUCAAGGUUCAGAGAGGUUAAGGGCACAAAGCUGGUAAGCAACACAACCAGAAUUUGAACACAGCCAAUCUGCCUCCUAAGUUGGGAUUUUAAGUACUAUAUUACAAGAGGGAGCAUUAGAAGAUUGGAGGUCUAGUCUAACCCUUGGAGGCUGUGCCGUAGUCCAGAAGCGUUGGCAUGGAAUUCAGGUUCCCUUAUGAUCUGGUCUCAGCCCUACUGCUAUCCCUCCUUGCCUCCUACCACCAUGAUCCACUGCCUCGACAGUCCAUGAACAUGCCCCAGCUGGUCUGCACAUAUCUUUCACUCUACCCAGACAGUACUUACCCAUUUCUGUCUGAAAUGUCUCUUUUUCUACCGAGAACCUCUGAACAACCCUCCCUGUAGACUGGGGUUAGGCGGGCCUUUCUCUUUUUAAAACUUUUAUUAUUAUUAUUACUUACUGUGGCUUUCGUCAGUUUGUCUUCUAAUUAUUGGCUAAUACGUCUCUUUUGCUUCCAGACUUCAGUCCUAAGGACUGGAUAUCUGUCAUAUCCAUUUCAGAAUCCUCAGCACUCAAUCCAGCACCUUAUAUGUAGUAAAUACUCAGCAGAUGUCUGUUAUGUACAGUGAACAAAGGAUGUUACAAAAUAAUAUACGCAGUGUGCUAAAUAUUGUAUUAUGUAUACUAUAAAUAUAUCACCACGCAGAACAUCCCAAAUGUUAACAAUUUUCACAGAAUUUGGGGGUUACAGGUGAUUUUUCUUUCUUUGCAUGUCUGCAUUUCCCAAAGUUUCUGUAAUGAUCAUGUGUUACUUUUGUAAUACAAAUGGAAAAAUAAAUUAUUAGAAAACUG
Felis catus (domestic cat) is the source of this 3959-nucleotide long non-coding RNA. RefSeq lists it as uncharacterized. Lineage: Eukaryota; Metazoa; Chordata; Mammalia; Carnivora; Felidae. The transcript has 2 exons. The record is from RefSeq and is a predicted model, not a curated record.